This 466-nucleotide ribosomal RNA is filed under the name uncultured bacterium. RNAcentral describes it as "partial 16S ribosomal RNA". It matches the Rfam family "Bacterial small subunit ribosomal RNA", at positions 28 to 505 of the family's 1533-position model. The record is from RNAcentral.
GACGAACGCUGGCGGCGUGCUUAACACAUGCAAGUCGAACGGAAAGGCCCUGCUUUUGUGGGGUGCUCGAGUGGCGAACGGGUGAGUAACACGUGAGUAACCUGCCCUUGACUUUGGGAUAACUUCAGGAAACUGGGGCUAAUACCGGAUAGGAGCUCCUGCUGCAUGGUGGGGGUUGGAAAGUUUCGGCGGUUGGGGAUGGACUCGCGGCUUAUCAGCUUGUUGGUGGGGUAGUGGCUUACCAAGGCUUUGACGGGUAGCCGGCCUGAGAGGGUGACCGGCCACAUUGGGACUGAGAUACGGCACAGACUCCUACGGGAGGCAGCAGUGGGGAAUAUUGCACAAUGGGCGGAAGCCUGAUGGAGCAACGCCGCGUGCGGGAUGACGGCAUUCGGGUUGUAAACCGCUUUCGCCUGUGACGAAGCGUGAGUGACGGGAAUGGGUAAAGAAGCACCGGCUAACUACG